Molecule: ribosomal RNA, 486 nt
Filed under: uncultured bacterium
Lineage: Bacteria
Description: partial 16S ribosomal RNA
Rfam family: Bacterial small subunit ribosomal RNA
Source: RNAcentral
AUUGAACGCUGGCGGCAUGCCUUACACAUGCAAGUCGAACGGCAGCACGGGUGCUUGCACCUGGUGGCGAGUGGCGAACGGGUGAGUAAUACAUCGGAACAUGUCCUGUAGUGGGGGAUAGCCCGGCGAAAGCCGGAUUAAUACCGCAUACGAUCUACGGAUGAAAGCGGGGGACCUUCGCGCCUCGCGCUAUAGGGUUGGCCGAUGGCUGAUUAGCUAGUUGGUGGGGUAAAGGCCUACCAAGGCGACGAUCAGUAGAUGGUCUGAGAGGACGACCAGCCACACUGGGACUGAGACACGGCCCAGACUCCUACGGGAGGCAGCAGUGGGGAAUUUUGGACAAUGGGCGAAAGCCUGAUCCAGCAAUGCCGCGUGUGUGAAGAAGGCCUUCGGGUUGUAAAGCACUUUUGUCCGGAAAGAAAUCCUUGGCUCUAAUACAGUCGGGGGAUGACGGUACCGGAAGAAUAAGCACCGGCUAACUACGUG